This 1185-nucleotide long non-coding RNA is filed under the name Populus trichocarpa (black cottonwood). RNAcentral's name for it is "long non-coding RNA (PTRI_LNC002251)". Lineage: Eukaryota; Viridiplantae; Streptophyta; Magnoliopsida; Malpighiales; Salicaceae. The record is from RNAcentral.
AAAAAAACUCUAAAACUUGUGAGUAAAUCACUGUGUUGUGUGAUCAAGACUGUAUAUACUAGAAUAUCAAAAUAAUAAAAAAAUAUAAUAAAAAAAUAAUUUUAAACUAAAAAAUUUUAAAAUUUUACAAAACUCCAGUUGAAACACGAGUCAAGACACCCCUGUAGUGUGGUUUAGGUUCGAGGAUGUUCGGCUGGGCAUGCGUUUCUCUUCUUCUGGCUACUUUUGGUUCUCUGUGUGGUGCACCUUUUCAAUCACUGCUUCUUGCUGUGGCUGCGGUUUGGGUUGCUAGCUCACAGGAGUUGUUUGCGCUUCUUUCUUUGAGUUUUCUUCUAUGGUCUAGGAGAGUCCUUGUCCUUGACAUCAUUGGGAGAGCUGCGGAUUAUUAGGUAGGAUUAUACAUUUUUUUAUAUAUGGACAAUUGGUUUGGGGAUUUUGGUUCCUGAUCUCUCUUUUGGUUAUGGAAAAGUUUUGUUCUUUUGGCUAUUGUUCUAGUUUGGUUAGCUUUUUAGAUGCCUUUUGGUCGACCUUUGCUUGCUCUUCUGUCAUUUCAAAUCCUGUUUUAUUGGGUUUUUUUUUUUUAAUAAUAUGUCAUACUAUUGUUGCCUUUGAGCUUGCUAUGUUUUCACGUCUUUUUUUUUAUCCUGGAUAGUGUAGAGAGGUUCAUUUGCAUUUUUUCUUGGUUUUAUUUCAUACCAUUUUCCCCUCUGGUGCUUAUUUUUGCCCAGCUUUUGUUGCUUUCUUUUCAUGAGCUUACUUUGGUUUAUUUGUAUUUCGUUGCUGAUUUUCUUGAGGCCAUCUUCCUGGUUUUUCUUGUAACUUUCAUUGGAUAUGCAGGUUUGAAUGUGUUCAUGGUGUCUCUCAGAAACUGCUCUCUUGUUGGUUUUGCGGGGCUGUUUGUUUUGUGGAUAUACUCUAGCUGGGUUCUACUUCUUCUCAUUACCUCCUCUUUUUUUUUGCUUGGUCAUGCUUCCAUUUAUGUUGAGCUUUAGUCAGUUGUUGGAACAUGGAGUAUCUGCAGAAUAUUGUAGAUUGUGGACAUAAAUUUAUGGGAAUGGAUGAGCUGCUGCUUUGAGAAUAGUUGAUCUCUUGUCAGAAUCUUUUAAGGGUGUUGUUGCUUGCAAAGUAAUUUAGAAAACAAAUAUAGGUUUCUAAUGAUGAAUUGAUUGAUGUGUUUAUCAUAGG